CCUACGGGGUGCAGCAGUGGGGAAUAUUGCACAAUGGGGGAAACCCUGAUGCAGCGACGCCGCGUGAAGGAAGAAGUAUUUCGGUAUGUAAACUUCUAUCAGCAGGGAAGAAAAUGACGGUACCUGACUAAGAAGCCCCGGCUAACUACGUGCCAGCAGACGCGGUAAUACGUAGGGGGCAAGCGUGAUCCGGAUUUACUGGGGGUAAAGGUAGCGUAGGCGGGGAGGCAAGUCAGAAGUGAAAGGCCGGGGCACAAAUCCGGGACUGCUUUUGAAACUGUAUGGCUAGAGUGCAGGAGAGGCAAGUGGAAUUCCUAGUGUAGCGGUGAAAUGCGUAGAUAUUAGGAGGAACACCAGUGGCGAAGGCGGCUUGCUGGACUGUAAAUGACGCUGAGGCUCGAAAGCGUGGGGAGCAAACAGGAUUAGAUACCCGUGUAGUC
RNAcentral lists this ribosomal RNA (440 nucleotides) under uncultured bacterium. RNAcentral describes it as "partial 16S ribosomal RNA". It matches the Rfam family "Bacterial small subunit ribosomal RNA", at positions 338 to 795 of the family's 1533-position model. The record is from RNAcentral.